Molecule: ribosomal RNA, 403 nt
Filed under: uncultured bacterium
Lineage: Bacteria
Description: partial 16S ribosomal RNA
Rfam family: Bacterial small subunit ribosomal RNA
Source: RNAcentral
AUUGAACGCUGGCGGCAGGCUUAACACAUGCAAGUCGAACGCGUGGCAGACGGGUGAGUAAUUUCUGGGAACUGCCUGAUGGAGGGGGAUAACUACUGGAAAGGGUAACUAAUCCCUCAUCAAAUCGGAUAACCCAUAUGGGAGUAGCUAGGAGGUGAGGUAAUGGCUCACCUAGGCGACGAUCCCUAGCUGGUCUGAGAGGAUGAUAAGCCACAAUGGGACUGAGACACGGCCCAGACUCCUACGGAGGCAGCAGUGGGGAAUAUUGCACAAUGGGCGCAAGCCUGAUGCAGCCAGGCCGCGUGUAUGAAGAAGGCCCUAGGGUUGUAAAGUACUUUCAGUCGGGAGGCGUUACCGACAGAAGAAGCACCGGCUAACUCCGUGCCAGCAGCCGCGGUAAUUC